This 492-nucleotide ribosomal RNA is filed under the name uncultured bacterium. Its description in RNAcentral is "partial 16S ribosomal RNA". It matches the Rfam family "Bacterial small subunit ribosomal RNA", at positions 29 to 507 of the family's 1533-position model. The record is from RNAcentral.
AGUGAACGCUGGCGGUAGGCCUAACACAUGCAAGUCGAACGGCAGCACAGUAAGAGCUUGCUCUUACGGGUGGCGAGUGUCGGACGGGUGAGGAAUACAUCGGCAUCUACUUUUUCGUGGGGGAUAACGUAGGGAAACUUACGCUAAUACCGCAUACGACCUACGGGUGAAAUCAGGGGAUCUUCGGACCUUGCGCGAUUGAAUGAGCCGAUGUCGGAUUAGCUAGUUGGCGGGGUAAAGGCGCACCAAGGCGACGAUCCGUAGCUGGUCUGAGAGGAUGAUCAGCCAGACUGGAACUGAGACACGGUCCAGACUCCUACGGGAGGCAGCAGUGGGGAAUAGUGGACAAAGGGCGCAAGCCUGAUCCAGCCAUACCGCGUGGGUGAAGAAGGCCUUCGGGUUGGAAAGCCCUUUUGUUGGGAAAGAAAAGCAGCAGGUUAAUACCCCGCUGUUCUGACGGUACCCAAAGAAUAAGCACCGGCUAACUUCGUG